Molecule: unclassified non-coding RNA, 327 nt
Filed under: soil metagenome
Description: partial contains 5.8S ribosomal RNA, internal transcribed spacer 2, and large subunit ribosomal RNA
Rfam family: 5.8S ribosomal RNA (bases 1-120)
Source: RNAcentral
GAUGAAGAACGCAGCGAAAUGCGAUAAAUAAUGUGAAUUGCAGAAUUCAGUGAAUCAUCGAGUCUUUGAACGCACAUUGCGCCCCCUGGUAUUCCGGGGGGCAUGCCUGUUCGAGCGUCAUUAUAACCCCUCAAGCUCGGCUUGGUGUUGGGGCCUGCCGCACGGGCAGCCCUUAAAAUCAGUGGCGGUGCCAUCUGGCUCUAAGCGUAGUAAUUCUUCUCGCUAUAGAGUCCCGGUGGAUGCUUGCCAUUAACCCCCAAUUUCAAUGGUUGACCUCGGAUCAGGUAGGGAUACCCGCUGAACUUAAGCAUAUCAAUAAGCGGAGGA